GGGCUUGUAGCUCAGGUGGUUAGAGCGCACGCCUGAUAAGCGUGAGGUCGGAGGUUCAACUCCUCCCAGGCCCACCA
Molecule: transfer RNA, 77 nt
Filed under: Alphaproteobacteria bacterium 33-17
Lineage: Bacteria; Pseudomonadati; Pseudomonadota; Alphaproteobacteria
Also listed under: 2 other names
Description: tRNA-Ile
Rfam family: tRNA
About the family: Transfer RNA (tRNA) molecules are approximately 80 nucleotides in length. Their secondary structure includes four short double-helical elements and three loops (D, anti-codon, and T loops).
Source: RNAcentral